Molecule: ribosomal RNA, 253 nt
Filed under: uncultured bacterium
Lineage: Bacteria
Description: partial 16S ribosomal RNA
Rfam family: Bacterial small subunit ribosomal RNA
Source: RNAcentral
UACAGAGGUCUCAAGCGUUGUUCGGAUUCAUUGGGCGUAAAGGGUGUGUAGGUGGCGCGCUAAGUCGGGUGUGAAAUUUCGGAGCUUAACUCCGAAACUGCAUUCGAUACUGGCGUGCUUGAGGACUGGAGAGGAGACUGGAAUUCAUGGUGCAGCAGUGAAAUGCGUAGAGAUCAUGAGGAAGACCAGUGGCGAAGGCGGGUCUCUGGACAGUGCCUGACACUGAGACACGAAGGCCAGGGGAGCAAACGGG